RNAcentral lists this ribosomal RNA (293 nucleotides) under uncultured bacterium. RNAcentral's name for it is "partial 16S ribosomal RNA". It matches the Rfam family "Bacterial small subunit ribosomal RNA", at positions 775 to 1067 of the family's 1533-position model. The record is from RNAcentral.
GGAUUAGAUACCCUAGUAGUCCACGCCGUAAACGAUGUCAACUAGCCGUUGGGAAUUUUACAUUCUUAGUGGCGUAGCUAACGCGCUAAGUUGACCGCCUGGGGAGUACGGACGCAAGUUUAAAACUCAAAUGAAUUGACGGGGGCCCGCACAAGCGGUGGAGCAUGUGGUUUAAUUCGAUGCAACGCGAAGAACCUUACCAAUUCUUGACAUCCAGAGAACUUUGUAGAGAUACAUUGGUGCCUUCGGGAACUCUGAGACAGGUGCUGCAUGGCUGUCGUCAGCUCGUGUCG